Molecule: ribosomal RNA, 497 nt
Filed under: uncultured bacterium
Lineage: Bacteria
Description: partial 16S ribosomal RNA
Rfam family: Bacterial small subunit ribosomal RNA
Source: RNAcentral
GAUGAACGCUGGCGGCGUGCCUAAUACAUGCAAGUCGAGCGAACAGAUAAGGAGCUUGCUCCUUUGACGUUAGCGGCGGACGGGUGAGUUACACGUGGAUAACCUACCUAUAAGGCUGGGAUAACUUCGGGAAACCGGAGCUAAUACCGGAUAACAUAUUGAACCGCAUGGUUCAAUAGUGAAAGGCGGCUUUGCUGUCACUUAUAGAUGGAUCCGCGCCGUAUUAGCUAGUUGGUAAGGUAACGGCUUACCAAGGCAACGAUACGUAGCCGACCUGAGAGGGUGAUCGGCCACACUGGAACUGAGACACGGUCCAGACUCCUACGGGAGGCAGCAGUAGGGAAUCUUCCGCAAUGGGCGAAAGCCUGACGGAGCAACGCCGCGUGAGUGAUGAAGGUCUUCGGAUCGUAAAACUCUGUUAUCAGGGAAGAACAAAUGUGUAAGUAACUGUGCACAUCUUGACGGUACCUGAUCAGAAAGCCACGGCUAACUACGUG